GACGAACGCUGGCGGCGUGCUUAAAACAUGCAAGUCGAACGGGGUCCAACCAGUCGCAAGACUGGGGAAGACCUAGUGGCGAACGGGUGCGUAACACGUGAGGAACCUGCCCCGGAGACCGGGAUAACCCUCCGAAAGGAGAGCUAAUACUGGAUGUGCUCACCGAGUCGCAUGGCUUGGUGAGGAAAUGGAUUCCGCUUCGGGAUGGUCUCGCGGCCUAUCAGCUCGUUGGUGGGGUAACGGCUCACCAAGGCGACGACGGGUAGCUGGUCUGAGAGGACUAUCAGCCACACUGGGACUGAGACACGGCCCAGACUCCUACGGGAGGCAGCAGUUAGGAAUCUUGCGCAAUGGGCGAAAGCCUGACGCAGCAACGCCGCGUGGGGGAUGAAGGCUCUCGGGUUGUAAACCCCUUUCAGCAGGGACGAUUGUGACGGUACCUGCAGAAGAAGGACCGGUCAACUACGUGCCAGCAGCCGCGGUAAUACGUAGGGUCCGAGCGUGUCCGGUA
This 511-nucleotide ribosomal RNA is filed under the name uncultured bacterium. RNAcentral describes it as "bacterial SSU rRNA". It matches the Rfam family "Bacterial small subunit ribosomal RNA", at positions 28 to 550 of the family's 1533-position model. The record is from RNAcentral.